Molecule: RNA transcript, 1962 nt
Organism: Gadus chalcogrammus (walleye pollock)
Lineage: Eukaryota; Metazoa; Chordata; Actinopteri; Gadiformes; Gadidae
Exons: 7
Source: RefSeq, a predicted model, not a curated record
CCUUACGGCCACCGUAGGCUACGUCAAACUUGUAAACGUUGUAAGAAUCCAGGUCCAACUGCAGCAACAACAUGGCCUUUACUUUAUACUCUCUCAUCCAAGCAGCGAUCUUGUGUGUGAAUGCAGUCGCCGUGUUACACGAAGAGAGGUUUCUUAGUAAAAUUGGCUGGGGGGUGGACCAAAGCGUCGGAGGGUUUGGGGAUGAACCAGGUGUCAAGGUGCAGGUGAUGACCCUCAUUCGAUCCGUAAGAACAGUGAUGAGAGUGCCGUUGAUAGCAGUGAAUUCGGUUUGCAUUGUGCUACUGCUGCUGUUCGGGUAAGGAUGACUUCUUUGUGGCAUCAGGAACCCGUCUCCACAUUACGAACAGACCCACUCGCCGUUGCCAGAACCCGCGAUCAGCAGCAUGUCCCGACAGCAAGCCACGACAUGGAGCACCGCCCGAAUCAUGCCUUGGUUUUAAUGCAGCGCAACGCUUAUGAAUGCCAUUUUGUGUUCAAUAUCGCUUCUGUUGUAAUGUCAAUGCGGCCACGGACUACUGACAAAUAAUGCAGCAUCACUUCAAUUAGUUGUACUUUUUGUAGCUGUUUGUUUGAUCAAUGCAAUGUUUUUACAAUUAAACUUUUUGAAAUUCACAUGCGCAUUCUGGUUGUCGCUUACCGCACUCCGUACUUCCUGUGUGAAUUAUGUUGUGAUAUGAUGACCUGUGGUUUUGAUUUCUGGAAGUAUACAAGCGUCCCUAGGUGUAGGCAUAUCGGGGUCAUAAGUCAUGGAGAUGGAUAAGCAUAGUAUUGCGUUGUGCGUAUAUACAGUAGACUACGUCACCAUGGCCCAUAUGUGGCUGCGAUCGGACAUUGAUUUUUAAACUCAAUCCCUUCAGCACAGCAUCACGAUGGGAAAUACACAGAGUUUCGUGGUCGCCUCUUUCUCUUUGAGUGCAAUUUAUGUAUUUUAUGCUCAUGUGUAUCGCUCUCAUAAAGCCCUGAAAUCAACCGUUGUAAACUACGAGGACCGUCUGCCAGGACUCGGAUACCUUUUUGCACGAUAUUUGCUCAAAGCUCUUUUAGUAACUCGGGGGUCUAUAAUAAACAAGAAGCAAACCGACCUCUCAUACACGCUUAUUAACUGCAGGCUUGAAAACCAACUGUUGAGGAAGUUCUGUGCUGCAGCAGGUUACGGUUGGGACUACCCAGACAGCGAAUACAGAGACGUUCCUCUGUGUUUCCCAGAGGUCCUCUGUCUCAGGCUGCUGUUGAUGGUGCUGACCUCAUCCCACUUCGCCUUGAACCCAGCAGGUCUGGUGCGUGUGCGGCAGACCCUGAGAACUCUGCAGCCCAUUGAUGAGUUGACUAAGGGCCGGUUCACACUGCACGCCCGGGUCCUGGAGUACCGGACGGUCAGAAGCGGAGCAGAGGUGGACGUCUUUAUGUCAGCCACGUCCCGCUGCGGUCAGCUGGUGUGGGAGAGCACCCUGACGCUGCUCUCCAGGGAAAAGUUUUACAAGACGCUCCAAAGUCUGCCCACAGAUCAUAAAAAAGAUUUGCCUGAUGUAGCCCUUUUGAAGAGAGUAGCAAUGAGGGUCCCAUGGAGUACUGGGCUUUGCUUCGCUUGGUCCUUCUCUGACUACUCCCCUAGUCCCCUCCUGUCCCUCCCGGCAAGGCUUCUUGGCUGCAGGGACAGGAGCUCCCCCAGCUUGUGGAUGCUGUCUGUCUGCCUGGCGGAGAUGGAGAAGCACAAAGGGGUAGAUGCUAUAAGACCUCCCAUCAACCUUACUGUUCAAUUCCUGGAGCCUCUCUUGGUCCCAGGCCAGGUGAUCAUCACGUUCUGGGAAACAGUGACCAAAGAUGGGGGGAGAGGGCUCCGUUUUCAAAUGGAGCAACAUGCCAACUCUGUGACUUAUGUGGAUGGAUUAAUCUGUAGGACCUGAAUCAAAUUUGUGGGUAUUCAUCUUGCCUUAAUGGAAG